Molecule: ribosomal RNA, 498 nt
Filed under: uncultured bacterium
Lineage: Bacteria
Description: partial 16S ribosomal RNA
Rfam family: Bacterial small subunit ribosomal RNA
Source: RNAcentral
AUUGAACGCUGGCGGCAUGCCUUACACAUGCAAGUCGAACGGUAACAGGUCUUCGGAUGCUGACGAGUGGCGAACGGGUGAGUAAUACAUCGGAACGUGCCUAGUAGUGGGGGAUAACUACUCGAAAGAGUGGCUAAUACCGCAUGAGAUCUACGGAUGAAAGCAGGGGAUCGCAAGACCUUGUGCUACUAGAGCGGCCGAUGGCAGAUUAGGUAGUUGGUGGGAUAAAAGCUUACCAAGCCGACGAUCUGUAGCUGGUCUGAGAGGACGAUCAGCCACACUGGGACUGACACACGGCCCAGACUCCUCCGGGAGGCAGCAGUGGGGAAUUUUGGACAAUGGGCGAAAGCCUGAUCCAGCAAUGCCGCGUGCAGGAUGAAGGCCUUCGGGUUGUAAACUGCUUUUGUACGGAACGAAAAGCCCUGGGUUAAUACCCUGGGGUCAUGACGGUACCGUAAGAAUAAGCACCGGCUAACUACGUGCCAGCCGCCGCCGUAA